CUAAGAAUCUUCCACAAUGGACGGAAGUCUGAUGGAGCGACGCCGCGUGGACGAUGAAGGCCGUGAGGUUGUAAAGUCCUUUUCGGGAGGGGGAAUAACCCGGGGAGGGAAUGCCCCGGGGAUGACGUGAAUCCCGGAAUAAGCCCCGGCUAACUACGUGCCAGCAGCCGCGGUAAUACGUAGGGGGCGAGCGUUGUUCGGAAUCAUUGGGCGUAAAGGGUGCGCAGGUGGUCCGGCAAGUCUGGCGUUAAAGUGCGGGGCUCAACUCCGUGAUGCGCUGGAAACUGUCGGGCUUGAGUACAGCAGGGGGCGUCGGAAUUCCAGGUGUAGGGGUGAAAUCUGUAGAUAUCAGGAAGAACACCGAUGGCGAAGGCAGGUUUCCAGCAGACGACUGACGCUGAGGUGCGAAGGUGCGGGGAGCAAACAGGAUUAGAUACCCUGGUA
This 444-nucleotide ribosomal RNA is filed under the name uncultured Spirochaeta sp. RNAcentral's name for it is "bacterial SSU rRNA". It matches the Rfam family "Bacterial small subunit ribosomal RNA", at positions 355 to 792 of the family's 1533-position model. Lineage: Bacteria; Pseudomonadati; Spirochaetota; Spirochaetia; Spirochaetales; Spirochaetaceae. The record is from RNAcentral.